Long non-coding RNA from Hemicordylus capensis (graceful crag lizard), 481 nucleotides. RefSeq lists it as uncharacterized. Lineage: Eukaryota; Metazoa; Chordata; Lepidosauria; Squamata; Cordylidae. The transcript is spliced from 2 exons. The record is from RefSeq and is a predicted model, not a curated record.
CUCGAGUAGGGCCCAAGCAAGCCAGGAAGGAAGAAGUAGCCAGAGUGGCCACCACUGUUCUCUGCAGCAGAAGACUCCUUGCUGCCCUGCCCAACCUAGCCCAGCAUUUGCCAGCUCUUCCCACCUCCUCUUCAAGAGCCAAUCAGGAGGGUGCACUUUGUUUAACCUUUAACCUUUUGGACUGGGCCUCAGCAACUCUCCAAAUUAAACUUUUUACCUCUCCCUUUGAAGUAAACUUUUGUUUUAGGCCAGCAACAACUUCCAACUGAACUUUUGACCUUCUGCUUGAAUUAAACUUUUGACCUGGACAUAAUAAUUCCCCAGACAAAACAUCUGAUCUGAUCAUACAAACUUAGUUUGAACCUUUAACCUUUUUGCAAACAGAAAACAACCACCCUGACCUCUGCACAACCAAGCUCAGUCAGAAAAUUAACACAUGCAACCACUUUACAACAAAAUAAAGUUUUAGUUCAGUCCUUCA